Molecule: unclassified non-coding RNA, 350 nt
Filed under: soil metagenome
Description: partial contains 5.8S ribosomal RNA, internal transcribed spacer 2, and large subunit ribosomal RNA
Rfam family: 5.8S ribosomal RNA (bases 1-120)
Source: RNAcentral
GAUGAAGAACGUAGUGAAAUGCGAUAAGUAAUGUGAAUUGCAGAAUUCAGUGAAUCAUCGAAUCUUUGAACGCACAUUGCGCCCGCCAGUAUUCUGGCGGGCAUGCCUGUUCGAGCGUCAUUUCAACCCUCAGGCCCCCAGUGCCUGGUGUUGGGGAUCGGCAGCAGGGCGUCAAGCCCGCCGGCCCCGAAAUCUAGUGGCGGUCUCGCUGUAGUCCUCCUCUGCGUAGUAGCACAACCUCGCAGUUGGAACGCGGCGGUGGCCAUGUCGUUAAACACCCCACUUCUGAAAGUUGACCUCGGAUCAGGUAGGAAUACCCGCUGAACUUAAGCAUAUCAAUAAGCGGAGGA